CAUUACACAUGCAGUCGAGCGGUAAGGCCUUUCGGGGUACACGAGCGGCGAACGGGUGACUUACAUGUGGGUGAUCUGCCCUGCACUUCGGGAUAAGCCUGGGAAACUGGGUCUAAUACCGGAUAUGACCUCCUAUCGCAUGGUGGGUGGUGGAAAGAUUUAUCGGUGCAGGAUGGGCCCGCGGCCUAUCAGCUUGUUGGUGGGGUAAUGGCCUACCAAGGCGACGACGGGUAGCCGACCUGAGAGGGUGACCGGCCACACUGGGACUGAGACACGGCCCAGACUCCUACGGGAGGCAGCAGUGGGGAAUAUUGCACAAUGGGCGAAAGCCUGAUGCAGCGACGCCGCGUGAGGGAUGACGGCCUUCGGGUUGUAAACCUCUUUCAGCAGGGACGAAGCGCAAGUGACGGUACCUGCAGAAGAAGCACCGGCUAACUACGUGCCAGCAGCCGCGGUAAUACGUAGGGUGCAAGCGUUGUCCGGAAUUACUGGGCGUAAAGAGUUCGUAGGCGGUUUGUCGCGUCGUUUGUGAAAACCAGCAGCUCAACUGCUGGCUUGCAGGCGAUACGGGCAGACUUGAGUACUGCAGGGGAGACUGGAAUUCCUGGUGUAGCGGUGAAAUGCGCAGAUAUCAGGAGGAACACCGGUGGCGAAGGCGGGUCUCUGGGCAGUAACUGACGCUGAGGAACGAAAGCGUGGGUAGCGAACAGGAUUAGAUACCCUGGUAGUCCACGCCGUAAACGGUGGGCGCUAGGUGUGGGUUCCUUCCACGGAAUCCGUGCCGUAGCUAACGCAUUAAGCGCCCGCCUGGGGAGUACGGCCGCAAGGCUAAACUCAAGGAAUUGACGGGGCCCGCACAAGCGGCGGAGCAUGU
RNAcentral lists this ribosomal RNA (874 nucleotides) under Rhodococcus sp. AMF3538. RNAcentral's name for it is "bacterial SSU rRNA". It matches the Rfam family "Bacterial small subunit ribosomal RNA", at positions 47 to 942 of the family's 1533-position model. The record is from RNAcentral. Lineage: Bacteria; Bacillati; Actinomycetota; Actinomycetes; Mycobacteriales; Nocardiaceae.